CCAAUGAAAGGCUAGAACUCCUGUUACAAAAGCGUAAAGAGCUUCAGGAAAAUCAAGAUGAAAUAGAAAAUAUGAUGAAUGCAAUAUUUAAAGGAGUGUUUGUACAUAGAUACAGGGAUGCAAUAGCUGAAAUCAGAGCUAUAUGCAUUGAAGAGAUUGGCAUUUGGAUGAAGAUGUAUAGUGAUGCCUUCCUUAAUGACAGCUAUUUAAAAUAUGUUGGUUGGACUAUGCAUGAUAAGCAAGGUGAGGUAAGACUCAAGUGUCUUACUGCUUUACAAGGGCUUUACUAUAACAAAGAGCUUAACUCCAAACUGGAACUGUUUACCAGUCGGUUCAAGGAUAGAAUUGUGUCUAUGACCCUUGACAAAGAAUAUGAUGUUGCAGUACAAGCAAUAAAGUUACUCACUCUUGUUUUACAG
This 419-nucleotide long non-coding RNA is filed under the name Rattus norvegicus (Norway rat). Its description in RNAcentral is "long non-coding RNA NONRATT030789". Lineage: Eukaryota; Metazoa; Chordata; Mammalia; Rodentia; Muridae. The record is from RNAcentral.